AGUGAACGCUGGCGGUAGGCCUAACACAUGCAAGUCGAACGGCAGCACAGGAGAGCUUGCUCUCUGGGUGGCGAGUGGCGGACGGGUGAGGAAUACAUCGGAAUCUGCCCAGUCGUGGGGGAUAACGUAGGGAAACUUACGCUAAUACCGCAUACGACCUUCGGGUGAAAGAGGGGGAUCGUAAGACCUCUCGCGAUUGGAUGAGCCGAUGUCGGAUUAGCUAGUUGGCGGGGUAAUGGCCCACCAAGGCGACGAUCCGUAGCUGGUCUGAGAGGAUGAUCAGCCACACUGGAACUGAGACACGGUCCAGACUCCUACGGGAGGCAGCAGUGGGGAAUAUUGGACAAUGGGCGCAAGCCUGAUCCAGCCAUACCGCGUGGGUGAAGAAGGCCUUCGGGUUGUAAAGCCCUUUUGUUGGGAAAGAAAUCUUUCAGGCUAAUACCCUGGGAGGAUGACGGUACCCAAAGAAUAAGCACCGGCUAACUUCGUG
RNAcentral lists this ribosomal RNA (490 nucleotides) under uncultured bacterium. Its description in RNAcentral is "partial 16S ribosomal RNA". It matches the Rfam family "Bacterial small subunit ribosomal RNA", at positions 29 to 507 of the family's 1533-position model. The record is from RNAcentral.